AACAGGCAUUUUAAAAUCAUAUCUGAAAAGAAUUUCAAAGGAGACAAAGCACUGUGUUAAAGCAUGCAUUAUGUAUCAUUCUCCUAUAUACUUCAGUGACUACUAAGCUUGUCUUCCUUUCCCUUGCUUCUUCCAUUUUCCAGCCCAAACUAAAGUGUGACUCUCAGAUUUCAGAAACAGGUUAUACUUUUGUCAUCUCGUAUUUCUGACAUCCUAUUUUUGAAAAGAGACUAAAUUGAUCCAUUAAACGUGUAAGAAUGGGAAUGAGAGCAAGGAGCUGCCAUGUGGAUACACUUUUGGACCAGAAAAGAUACAAGAGCCCUUGUUGAAAACAGUACUGCAACUGUGACAUGACAUCUGCUAUUUCUCCUCCAUCCAUAAGGCCUUUAUCUUGGAGCCUCUCCUGUUAGAUCAUUCUUCUUGUAGACAUGAUAAAGCUUUUACAGGUUAUGACCAUAGGUUCCUGAGGAACUGGUGCAGCUAGGAUCUGUUGUACUUCUGAGUCCUGUAGCACAGGUAAAGGAAAGUCAAACAGAGGAAAAUAAAGGGAGAGACAGAAUUUAAGGUAAAACUAACCAGAAACAGAACAGCUUGGAUCCAGGCUUCCCCUUUCCUUCAGGUGCCAGAGACUGAUCCCUUUGCAUAAACUGAAAUGUAAGAAACUCAACAUGCCACUUAUCUUGGAUUAGGAGAACCAUCUGCAGACUACAGUUUCCUCAGUUGUGGAGUGAUCAUGGCUGGAAAGUGUCAUUUUUAAACAUUAUGAGUCUGGCCUUCAUGAAUCUGAAUGCUGUUUUGCUACAUAAGGGUGAAUCCAACCCUAACCAUUCUAUGAUUCUAUUAUUC
This is a long non-coding RNA of Neopsephotus bourkii (Bourke's parrot), 846 nucleotides long. RefSeq lists it as uncharacterized. The transcript is spliced from 4 exons. NCBI's taxonomy places the organism in Eukaryota, Metazoa, Chordata, Aves, Psittaciformes, Psittacidae. The record is from RefSeq and is a predicted model, not a curated record.